UCCAAUUUUUGCUGACCGGCCGGUUAAGGAAUCAGCUUACUCUCUGAUGUUUAACCGGGCGAUUGGUUUCGCGCCACACGGGGUUUACUGGCGAACGCUGCGAAGGAUCGCUUCGAACCACCUCUUCAGUCCUAAACAAAUCAAACGAGCCGAAACGCAGAGGCGGGGGAUCGCUAGCCACUCUCUCCUUGCCAUCGUAAUAGUAUGGCUCGCCUUCUCUCUCUUCUUCUGGACCUAUCCCGGUGGACCUGCAUGGGGCAAACACCUCUCUCGCCGGUUAACUAACAAAACCGGAACGGUUAUUCCCGGUCCAAGAGGGUUCCCUUUCGUGGGAAGCAUGUCUCUCAUGUCCAGCACUCUAGCUCACCACCGAAUAGCGGAAGCAGCUGAGAGAUACGGAGCCAAACGCCUCAUGGCUUUCAGCUUAGGCGAGACACGCGUGAUCGUCACGUGCAACCCCGACGUGGCUAAAGAGAUUCUGAAUAGUCCAAUUUUUGCUGACCGGCCGGUUAAGGAAUCAGCUUACUCUCUGAUGUUUAACCGGGCGAUUGGUUUCGCGCCACACGGGGUUUACUGGCGAACGCUGCGAAGGAUCGCUUCGAACCACCUCUUCAGUCCUAAACAAAUCAAACGAGCCGAAACGCAGAGGCGGGUGAUCGCUAGCCAGAUGGUGGGGUUGCUCGAGAAACAGAGCAGUACUAACGCGCUCUGUUUUGUUCGUGAGCUGCUCAA
Molecule: long non-coding RNA, 732 nt
Filed under: Brassica napus (rape)
Lineage: Eukaryota; Viridiplantae; Streptophyta; Magnoliopsida; Brassicales; Brassicaceae
Description: long non-coding RNA (BNAP_LNC003858)
Source: RNAcentral